AGCUCAUUUGAAUCUGGCUCCUUCGGAGUCCGAGUUGUAAUUUGUAGAAGCAGCUUUGGGCGGUGGGACCGGCCUAAGUUCCUUGGAACAGGACGUCAUAGAGGGUGAGAAUCCCGUAUGUGGCCGAGACCUCACACCUAUGUAAAGCGCUUUCGACGAGUCGAGUUGUUUGGGAAUGCAGCUCAAAAUGGGUGGUAAAUUUCAUCUAAAGCUAAAUAUAGGCCAGAGACCGAUAGCGCACAAGUAGAGUGAUCGAAAGAUGAAAAGCACUUUGGAAAGAGAGUUAAACAGUACGUGAAAUUGUUGAAAGGGAAGCGCUUGCAACCAGACUUGGACACCACUGAUCCGCGAGGGUUCUCCCUCGGGCACUCGGUGGGGUACAGGCCAGCAUCGGUUCGGAUGGUUGGAUAAAGGCCGCAGGAACGUAGCUCCUCUCGGGGAGUGUUAUAGCCUACGGUGCAAUGCAGCCCAGCCGGACCGAGGACCGCGCCUUCGGGCUAGGAUGCUGGCGUAAUGGUUGUAAGCGACCCGUCUUGAAACACGGACCAAGGAGUCUAACAUCUAUGCGAGUGUUUGGGCGUAAAACCCAUACGCGGAAUGAAAGUGUGAACGUA
This 614-nucleotide ribosomal RNA is filed under the name Erysiphe salicis. RNAcentral's name for it is "partial large subunit ribosomal RNA". It matches the Rfam family "Eukaryotic large subunit ribosomal RNA", at positions 106 to 737 of the family's 3401-position model. The record is from RNAcentral. Lineage: Eukaryota; Fungi; Ascomycota; Leotiomycetes; Helotiales; Erysiphaceae.